UCUCCCAGCCUCGCCUCUUUCCUCUUUCCUCAUCGCAAAAUCCAUAUCUCAGAAACCUCAUCAAUCUCACAAAAGAUCCGUAUCAUGAAAAAUCCCUCUUUUAAUCCCAUGAAUCUCAUCUCUGAUUUCCCGAUCUCUUUAGAACUCGUUCAUUCACCUAUUUCCUUCACAGAGUUUAUGGUAUGAACCCUAAUUUACCAAAACAGAAAUCAAAACUAACCUUUGACAGGAAAUCUAUAAGCAUUUACUGAGUUUGGGUAACCUAAUCUCAGGUAAGAUAACCUAUUUUACGAAUUUUGUAUAUUUUGAUUUUAUAAACCCUAGAAAUUGUUUUUUGAUUUUUGAUUUUGAAAUCGCAAAAGAAGAUCGAAAAUAAAUCCGGGAAGAGUGGGGUACCAAAUCAAGAAAAUCGAGUAUAACUCUAGCCCUAUCAAUUAUUUUUGGUUAUGAAUCUUGAUUUGAGCUUAUUCAUCCUUGUUUUAAGUUUUUUGCAAGAUGUGUUUGUUUGAUUUCAGAUUUAUGAAGUAAUUUUGUAAAUAAUCUUGUGUACAUCUCUGGAGAGUCGUAUGCAGGGGUAUACGUGACUACUCUGGCUUCUCAAGUUGUGAAGGGUGACUAUCCUUACUGAUCCGAUGAACUGUGACUUAUACUUGAAAAACUAAAAGCACAAUCUUAGCAAAAAUGGGAUCUUUUUCAGGUCUUGCAGCCGGUAUAAAGCCUGCACUGAACUUCGAGGGUUAUAUGAUAAAAACUGAGGCAACUGACUGGGAAUCACUCUAAGAUGGAUUAAGCUGUAUUUCUCUCUUGAAGGUUGAGGGUAGCUUUGGAGCUGUCAAUGACAUGGCAACCACAAUGGUGCAGAAGUUCUGGGAUUCUGCCCUCGUUUAGACCCACUUGAAGAUGAUUAUGACACCCAAAGUGAAUCCGCAUUUAUGGCGUCAGAUAGUGUAGAACCAGGGAUGUCUUAUCCGUUUCUUGGUUUAGGAAAUUCAUUUGCCUUCAAAUUUGAGGAUCAUAAGGGUUAUCUACAUCUGCUCAAUUGCAGUAUGUGUUCUCCCUGACUGUAUACAUGUGGAAACCAUAUCGUGCUCAGUAAUACAAUAACAAAAUUAUUGUUUUUGAGUUUCACAGGUACUGUGAAUUUGGAGGAGCUUGUAUCUACCGUUAUGCAGAGGAUAUGAACUGACAGUGAUCAAGAUCAUCCAUAGUUUUUGGUAUGCUUGAUGUUUUAUGUUUCCCUUAUUUCUCAACUUUGUUUGGGGGCAUAUUAAUUUUCAGUGUGAAGAUGAUGAAGGGAAUAAAGUUUUACUUACAACUGAUAGUGAACUUGCUGGAGCUAUUAUCCAUGCUCCAACAACGGGUUUGAAGGCACAACUGGGAUUGUGGAUUACACAAACAAUGACGAGAUGAAGUAUGUUGUAGUGUCAAAAAACUCGAUGACCGAGUUCAGGUAUACUUUUUCGGAAGCCUACAUUCAGGUCAAGGAGUAUGAUUCCAAGAGUAACUCUUCUGGAUGAUUUAUUAGAGAAUCAUGUUAAAUAAAAAGACUGCCAAAUACAAGAAGGGAAGUUGGAGAUUGAACCAGGUAACCUAGACUGGCAUGUCCUACCAGUGAUGAGAAGCAAUUUCGGCUUUGCCUUCGAUGAGGUUGGUCUUCUAAAACGGAUUCAGGUUAACAUAUGUAUCAAUAUGUUAUCAUAUUUGUAUGAUUAUUCUUUGAGUUACGAUAAACUAGGUCACUUCAACAUAAAACAUUGUAUGUCACGUACAAUAUUUAAUUCACUUCAUCUCUGUAACAUUGUAUGUCUCCAAAUGUGAUACUCAAAACUUCACAUUGUGAAUCUU
Molecule: long non-coding RNA, 1845 nt
Organism: Papaver somniferum (opium poppy)
Lineage: Eukaryota; Viridiplantae; Streptophyta; Magnoliopsida; Ranunculales; Papaveraceae
Exons: 8
Source: RefSeq, a predicted model, not a curated record